UGGCUCAGGACGAACGCUGGCGGCGUGCCUAACACAUGCAAGUCGAGCGGGGACAUUGCGACGGAGACGAAGUACUCGUACGGAGUCAAAGAUGUAAUGUCUAGCGGCGGACGGGUGAGUAACGCGUGAGCAACCUGUCCCUUACAGGGGGAUAACACAGCGAAAGUUGUACUAAUACCGCAUAAGACCACAGGAUGACAUCGUCCAGGGGUCAAAGGAGCAAUCCGGUAAGGGGUGGGCUCGCGUCCGAUUAGAUAGUUGGUGAGGUAACGGCCCACCAAGUCGACGAUCGGUAGCCGACCUGAGAGGGUGAUCGGCCACAUUGGGACUGAGACACGGCCCAAACUCCUACGGGAGGCAGCAGUGGGGAAUAUUGGGCAAUGGGGGGAAACCCUGACCCAGCAACGCCGCGUGAGGGAAGAAGGUUUUCGGAUCGUAAACCUCUGUCCCAGGUGAAGAGGAAGAGACGGUAGCCUGGGAGGAAGCCCCGGCUAACUACGUGCCAGCCGCAGC
This 513-nucleotide ribosomal RNA is filed under the name uncultured bacterium. RNAcentral describes it as "bacterial SSU rRNA". It matches the Rfam family "Bacterial small subunit ribosomal RNA", at positions 20 to 518 of the family's 1533-position model. The record is from RNAcentral.